This is a long non-coding RNA of Oncorhynchus mykiss (rainbow trout), 597 nucleotides long. RefSeq lists it as uncharacterized. The record is from RefSeq and is a predicted model, not a curated record. Lineage: Eukaryota; Metazoa; Chordata; Actinopteri; Salmoniformes; Salmonidae.
AGAUGGCCAAGAAGUUGCACAGAACUUCCCCAACAUCCCCUCCCAAAUUGAUAUGGAACCUCAAAAACACAUGGAGCAACUGCGAAAAGAAAUGGCUGAGGAUAUGCUAAAAAUGUCUGAAUUCAACAAAGCCAACAACUGCUUCAGGUGUGCCACUGAUAAAGAACCUGGAUGUGGCCCAAAGACUGACUGGAUUGAAUGUUUUGCAUGCCAACGGUGGUUCCAUGUGCUGUAACUAGGAAUGAAGAGGCUCUGAAAUGUACAUCAACCAGGGAUAAAGAGGAAGUUAACACUGUGAAAUGUUUCAUACUUAUUUGAAGUUAAGUGUCUGUUGACAUGUUGGAAAAGAUUAAAGGUGUACAAUUUCUGUUUAAUUUGUCAAUAUUACAUUUUUCUUAAUUGAUUUACUGGCCACCAUUACUGUGGUUACAUGUUCAGUAUAUGUAUUGACCAGCAAACCCACUGCAGCCUACCUCACCAGCUCACUCUCCAUCCCUGCUUUGGAUAAUUAAUAGCAUGACUCUCGUACUUUGCCCUUUUCCUUUAUGGUUGUUAUUAACGACGAAAGGAGAUAUUAUCUGUCUCUCUCCUAUUGUG